ACAAGCAGGAAGGCAGGACGUGCCACUGCCUGAAUCUCCCUCUGUGGGAUGCAUCUUCCCAUCUCCUCUUUCCACCCUCCAAGCAUUUUACUUCCUUCCUACGUGGAAGACCACAUGAAAGGUUCAGCAGUUUGGAAGAUGAAUGAUACUGGAAGAUGCUCACUAGGAGAUGCUCUUCUCUCAACCAUCUCUUCCUUUGCUCACCCUGGACCACAGACAGUGGGUUUCUCUAAAAGCAAUCUUCCCAGCAGCUGGACAUGCCAACCCAUGCUUCACAGGCUCACGUGGAAGACAGAUCCUGCCUUCCCAAGGUUUGGCUGCUUGCUCUAAGAACCAAUCCUUGCAGAGAAUGCUGGGCACCCUCAGCCUCCUCCCAUCCUAUGGCACUUUAAAAACAAAACCCAAAAACAUGAUAUGUGUUUCUAAAAAAAUGAGGUAGAAUCAGUUUUGUGCCAUGAAGAGGAGGCUGGCAGAAGGAAGCAAGCAAGUACACAAAGCAAGCUCAGAUGGUUUCAGGUUCAACUUCAGCUUUGAAAUUUAUGGCUAUAGACCUCAUAAAGAUCCGUGUGACCAUCAUUCUGAAAACUUCUUGUUCAGUUCUGAUUUAUAGCUUGUGUAAAUCCAAGCAAAACAGUGCAGCAAAAGAAAUUCGUGGGAUAAUUUACAGCUUCAGUUUAGAUUAGGCUUUUAGUAGUUAUUUACCUUCAUACUUUAGAUAAAGAUUUGUGAGUAGCCAAUUACCCAAAGCAGCAUGAGCAGCUUUGACAGCUGACUCCAAUGCAGGAGAUACCCUUAGAAAGUGCUGCUUUAUAUCCUAAUAGAAAAUGCUACAGUUAAAAACAGAAACCGGAGUCUAUACCCUGAAUGUUAAAAUACUGGGGGGAAGAACAUCAUAAUCACUCACAUGGAACAAAGUGUUUGAGGAUAAAAGCUCCUGAAAAGGAGAUGGAGAGAUCAUUACUGCACGUUUAUAUAAAGCCAGGGAUGCUCUUUUAGGUGUUCUUUGAAUUUUAUUUUUUUAGCUGUACCAAUUUAUACCUGAAAAAAACAUCCCUAAAGAGUUCAUUAAACCUUUGUCUCAGUACUGCUUUGCUUUGGGACUUGUUUGUUGAUGUGAAAGACUGACUAUUUUCUUCAUGCAAAAUGGUACCUGGGAUUUUAAAACUGGGUGUGUCGUGUUGAUGUUACCUUCACUCAUUCUCCAUGUCUGCUUACAGCCUGGGCUCCUGAGCAGGGCUUUGCUCCCUGUUGCAAGGGCCUUUUGUUGCCUUUGUUAAGUCACCGUAAAGUCAGAUGAAUCAUUUACAUUGAGUUUUGAUUGAUUUCAUGUCUUUUUUUUUUUUGGUUUGAAAGGGAGUGAGGAACCAACUGCAGUUCCUCGUUAGAAUUCAUUUCUUCUUAAUUCCUGAAACUUCUUUGAAAGCAGUUCAGACUCAGAAUGCUAGAUCUCAAACACAAGCCGUGUUGAUCAGAUGCCUCAGUCACAAGCUAUGUAUCCUCCUGGGUGAGCAUAAUUUUGCAAUUGCCUUGUGGCUUCUGCCCAAACAGGGAUGAACUAGGAAGCUACUGUCUAAAACAGCAGUACUCAAAUAUUACUUUUAGGUAAAAUGGAAAAAGGCUUGGCAUCACUAUAUGACAGACUUCACAAACUGAACAGAAAAGGGGCACAAGACCCUACUCUUAGAAAGACAUGAAUUUCCUAGGUACAAGUCAUCACGUUCCUCUAGCUCCUCUACCUCUCCAUUUGGACUGAUGCCCAACACGUUGCUGCCACAAAGAGCCAUCUCAGCCUGGAGCAGUUAAAGAAAAUAAAAGGUUCAAAGUCUUUUGAGAUUCAGGUGUUAGGCAUUCAAGAUUAGGCAUCAAGCAUAUACGACUGAUGAUUUGGAAACUUCCAGAAGUCGCACAGAAGUUAUCUUCAAUUAUUUGGCAGCUAAUUGUCAUUACAAUAUAUGUUGGCUGAGUGUACAGUCACAGUUUGAUAAGCCAGCACUCACACUGCACAUCUUGCUUGAAGACCCACAGCCACACAAAUGCAUCAUUGGUAGAUAUUCACAGUGGUACCUAAGGUUAUACUUCCACAUCCACGAUCUGAGUUAUUAUCCACACUACAAAGGAAUUUUUCUACUUCUGAUUUCCCAUAUGGGCCAAGUAUUGCUUUGUAGUGUUUUGUAAAGUUAGGGAGCUUUUACAGAUGCAGAAGAUGAGUACUAAGUCUGCAAUUAUUAAAAAUGCUUUCUUACCACUCAAAGUAAGUCACCAUUCAGACCAUAGUAGGUUCCUGCAAGGAAGAGAUUAUGUGAAUUCUCAUCUUUUAGGGGUAUGUGUUACUCUUCACAUGAGACAUUUCAGGGAAUGCCCUGACCCUUACCAGCCUCAUAAAUGUUAACCUGAGAUUUGACAAACUUUGUUGAGUAUAUGAACAGUAUCCACAGUGCACCACUGAAAUAUUGGCCACUUAUUUCAAGCCUUCCUACCAAAACCUGCAUGCUUACUGCAUAGUCAUCACGUGUCUUUAGCUCAAAAUUCCCCAUACUGCUGCUACAAAACACACAGCUAUACCCUUCCUUCCCACUCAUGCAAAGUCCUCUGUAACAAGUAACAACAAUAAAUAAACUUUCAUGAUGAAGCUUA
Molecule: non-coding RNA, 2634 nt
Organism: Coturnix japonica (Japanese quail)
Lineage: Eukaryota; Metazoa; Chordata; Aves; Galliformes; Phasianidae
Source: RefSeq, a predicted model, not a curated record